This 252-nucleotide ribosomal RNA is filed under the name uncultured archaeon. RNAcentral describes it as "partial 16S ribosomal RNA". It matches the Rfam family "Archaeal small subunit ribosomal RNA", at positions 475 to 727 of the family's 1478-position model. The record is from RNAcentral.
ACCAGCACCUCAAGUGGUCAGGAUGAUUAUUGGGCCUAAAGCAUCCGUAGCCGGCUCUGUAAGUUUUCGGUUAAAUCUGUACGCUCAACGUACAGGCUGCCGGGAAUACUGCAGAGCUAGGGAGUGGGAGAGGUAGACGGUACUCGGUAGGAAGGGGUAAAAUCCUUUGAUCUAUUGAUGACCACCUGUGGCGAAGGCGGUCUACCAGAACACGUCCGACGGUGAGGGAUGAAAGCUGGGGGAGCAAACCGG